RNAcentral lists this ribosomal RNA (254 nucleotides) under uncultured bacterium. RNAcentral describes it as "partial 16S ribosomal RNA". It matches the Rfam family "Bacterial small subunit ribosomal RNA", at positions 524 to 776 of the family's 1533-position model. The record is from RNAcentral.
UACGAAGGGGGCUAGCGUUGUUCGGAAUUACUGGGCGUAAAGCGUGCGCAGGCGGUGAUGUAAGACAGGUGUGAAAUCCCCGGGCUUAACCUGGGAACUGCAUUUGUGACUGCAUCGCUGGAGGUGCGGCAGAGGGGGAUGGAAUUCCGCGUGUAGCAGUGAAAUGCGUAGAUAUCGAGAGGAACACCAGUGGCGAAGGCGAGUCUCUGGACGACUCCUGACACUGAGGCACGAAAGCCAGGGGAGCAAACAGG